UCUCAAAUGGGAUCAUCAUAAUGGCGGAGAAUGGUUGGACUCUCGCCGAGCUCGUCUCGGACCUGCAUUUGAGUGAAGCGGACGCUGCUGACUUGCUUCGAUUUCGGAUCAACUUCCGACGCGAUGGUCUCGGAGUUCAUUGCUGCUGCCGGAGGUGAGCGGAGAAAGAUUUAUCUUAUCAUCUGCUUCUGUUUUUGGCUUCUUUGAGUUAUCUUAUUUGAUCCUCUUGUUCUAUGGUGUGUCUCUGAGCCCCGAUUGAUUGCGGUCUUUCUGUUAUAAUUGCCUCGAUUUCUUUUCAUUCUCUAAGAGUGUGGGAUCUUCGCAUAGUUUGAAGAGGAUUUUCAUCAGGAAAAGCACAUCGAGCACUGGGGCCGGGGGUCCUUGCCCUCGUGGUGCACAGCUGUCUAGCCUAGGGUAGGGUUGCCCAACGCGCUUUGUCCUCAAAGUGUAUCCGGUAGAAUGGUGCCAUUAAAACUCACCUUUCUAUGAACUUCAGUCGUUUAAUUGUCUUGUUUAUAAUUUCUGGGGUUAAAAACAAUUCUCGUGUUUUGCAAAAGUCGCAUCCAAGUUGUUUUGGACAGAGAACGUCACAUAAAUCCAUCUUGCUUAGGAAAACUAUCCACGUUGGGAAUUCUCAUGUGGGAACAUCAAUGACCUCAGACGCUCUUCUUUCUCUAUGCUGCCUACAGAUCCAUCCUAUGUGCCCAUCGUCGAGAUACCUCACCCGCCACAAACCGAACCUUUCAGCUAUAUCUUUUCCAGAUGUAAUCCUUCGAUUCUUCAAGAAAUCUGUGAGCCACUGCUGAGCAGCAGUUAUAUCAUGACGAAAAUUUAACAAACUUGGUCCGCCCGAGGGGGCACCCCUGUCUGUUGUUCUGCUUCCGGCAGCUUGCCCGGCGAUUAAAGUAGCCCCUAUUGCCCCUGCAGUGAAGGCUGUCAUUCGAGAAACAUGGGAAGCAUUAAGUAGAUGAGCUACCUCCCUGCCCAAAUCUGGUACCAUCUCUCCCAUUCCUGCCACAAAAUGGACUCCUAUCUUCAGGGCAAAGGUCACAAGCUUCAUGAAUGUACUCAUAUAUGGAAGCAGGCACUUCACUGCCUGGUUGUCUACUUGUAUAAGAUCACAACCUACCUGAUCUUGCACAACAUGCAUUUCUCUCCGAAACUCGCACAGCAUGUGUAAACGGAGUUCUGUCAUGCCAGAAAUCAGCCUUGUGACCAGUCUUCUUGAGUUCCCUUCUGUCUGUAUGAAGUAGAACAUCCUGGGUAUUUUCCUCUCUUCUAGUUGAAUGUUGUAGUUGACCAUGUAAUCUAUUUUCCUGUGUAGUUCGACCAGAAGCGUGUGUUCAUAAUAUCUUAGUUUGUGUAUCUCUCUCCUCAGGUCCUUUAUCUCAUGCUGUAUAAUCUUUAGGCUCUGUAAAACUGCUUCUACACCCUUCGCAAUACCUGAUACUGAAGGUUCCACCGUGAAAUCAGGCUCUCUUGCAUGUGCCUGUGAUUCACUCUCUGCCUGUUCGAGGGGCACAGACAGUUCCACAGCCAGAUGAUGCAAGUCAUAGUACCUCUGAUGCAGUACGUCUCGAAAAUCAUCGUCUGAAAGGAGAUUUCUAGCAUAGUCAAAGCCAGAGUGUAAAAUGAUUCUGUUUCCAUCCGAUACUGAAUCCCAUGUGUGCUGAUAGUCAUACAUGCUGUCUGCUGGCACAGAGAGCAAUGCCUGUUCCAAUUGCCCCAAAAGCACAGCUUGACCAUACCUGUACCUAUGUGGAAUAAGAUGCCGGACACAGUCUGGCCUGAUGAUCUUUUCCACAAGGCUGACUCCAAUUGCAAGACUUUGGAUUGUUGGAAAGAUCAGCUGCCUGAGGAGUCUUAGAAUUUCUGUUGUGCUCUUAGUUGAGCGAGCAAGGACAUCAAUGUAAUGACCAGGUUGUCCACCAAGCUCCACCCUGACAUCUACUCCGUUGAUUGUUAUUGUGAUGAGGUAUUUCUCUAGAUUGCAAGUUGCACCAUGUGGGUUCUUCGAUUGUAUCUUGUUGUAGAGAUGGACCUGGAGUUUCAGAAAGCUGGUAGAUAUUGAUUUGUGUAAAACGAUAAGUCAAAACGAAUUAGUAUUAUUUAUAAUUUCGUUAAAUCUAAUGUGAGAUCCUUUUCUCUUGUCAUUUUUUGAUAGAAGGUUUAAUUUUUUUGAAAUUUCAAAUGAACAAAGGAUAUGAUCUUUCUUUAUCUGACGACAGAGAGGUAAUGCAUGCUAUAUGAUGAGAUAUUACAUCGUGCUUUUUGUGUAAUGUAAUUUAUCAUCACUUUUAAUAGUAUCAGCCACGCGAGCUCCAUAUUUGCAUCUUAGGAAAACAAGGAACACAUGUUUGAAAUCAGCAUAUCUGUCUAUAAAAGAUGAUAUCCAAUUAUGGCUUCUUUCUCUUAGGUUGUGUAUCCCCAGUUCCAAUUAUGCUACUACUCAUUGUCAGAGACUUUUUUUUCAUAUGCGUCUUCCGCUUAUUUUCAAAGUUUUACAUAUACUUGACAUAGGAAAUACUUUGAAGUUAAAAUCAGCACUUUUAUAAAGGCUCUCCCUACCUGUAACCUUGAGAAAAAGCUUGGUCCAAGAUAUGUCUGGCAGGAAUUGUCACACUCCAGCUUCCGCCCUACGUAGAAGCAUUCUGACAUAGUUAGUUGCCAUUUCUGAGUUUUUGCCCUGCUUCCUUCCAGAAUUGUUGGGACAAAAAGCAGUGAAUUGUGAUCCCCAGGAUGUAGUUCAUAGCAUAAUUCUAACUUUAGCAUCAUGUGAAUGAGAUCGUUUUCUUCUAUAUCCUGACUAUUAAACCUCCCUCUUAGAAGCUUCUCCAGUUCUCUCCUGCUUAUGAAUCCAUUCCUGUUUGUUAUAGUCUUGUUACCUGAAUUAAGUUUUAUCAAGCGACCAAGGACUUCUCUGCAGAACCAUUCACAGUCGAGGAUCAGAAAUCCAAGCUCUUCAAAGAAAAUCACCUCACCCAUAUAGUGCAGAGAUUUUGCAACUUGACAUCUCUGUGAUUCUACCUGUCUAGUAUUAUGCCUUGAUCGGAUUCUCAAGAGUGGAACUUUGAGCUGGCAUAACUCACCAAAGUCGUUCCACUUCAUUGUUGGUCUGUUUUCAUUCUCUAACCUCCAGAUCUGCAGAAUCUUUAUGAAGUCAUUUGUCAGUUGGUAAACCUGUGGAACCCUUUGAACUAUUGUCUGGACAGUCUUUUGCAGGUGAUGUGUGAGUUUGCUCACCGACCGAGUACUUCUUGCAUCCACUGUGAAAACUGUCGCGUGUAACUCCACAAUUCCUCUGAAUCUUUCUCUUAAACUAUGAACUAAAUCAACGAUUGGCAGCAUGUUUUCCGAUUGCUUCAAAAUUUUGUCUGAGUGAGAGAGAACAAUGGUUACAUGUGGUAAUAUGGACUGCAGUUUUGCCCUUUCUGUGUUUGAAGCAAUGCACCUAAGCCAGUGGAGAAGAUCCUCUUCCAGUUCUGUUAGUCUUUUCUCUUCCUUGUUGUCAGGUUUUUGGAACAAACUGGAGACUAUCAGGAAGAGAGAGCCUCCAUUUCCUUGAAACAUAACGUCGUGCAGGGUGUGAAAUUCCUGUUGGCCUGCAACCACCCAGAUCGAUACUUUUAUGCCCUCGUGCUGCAGGGUUUUGAUCUUGAUUUCUUCUUUCCUGACACCUCUCGGCUCUGCUCGGUUCACCAGUGGUAGAGUCUGUCUCCAAUAGGGAAAUGCUGCAGUUGAAGAGUUUCUGGUUAUGGUGUUGCAAAGAGUUGAUUUACCUGCAUCACAUGAAUUUACGUCUCUCAGUGGAUUACUUAUAAUGUUUCAAGGUUUUUAGAGGAUUUCUUGAGAGAGUCUACGGGGGAUAAUUUUGAAGUCCACUUGGACACGCAUAGUUACUCAAUAAAAAAUGAAUUAACUAAUCUAACUCUUCAGAAUAGUUCGAGCAUAUGAGUAACCUAUUUAUCUAACGCCUUGAAUGUAGUUUCAUUGAAGUAUGAACAUAACUACCUUGGUUUUUUUGUUUCCAGCACUACCUGCAUAUUCUUGUCCACAGAAGAAGAUUCUGCAACUCAUUGGUGCAGCCCGUGGCAAGUCGUGGAACUGCUCAUCCUCAUGCUCCAUCCUUUCUCUCUCGUCAAGCUUCUGAGUAAUACUCUCGCUCUUUCCAGCAAUCUGCAAAGGAGUUCCCACGAGAUCAAUCUCUUCUAUCCAUGGAUUCACCUGCAAUGAUUCCAUGAUUGCUUGCAAUACUAACGCCCCAUCAACGCCUUCGCAGCCUCUGAGUGAUAGACAUCUCAAAGUAGAAUUUCUCUCCAAACUCUUGAAUAUUCUAGCUAUAUCAUGAGGUUUCAGGCUUCGAUCGUCGAAGAUUCCCAAUCUUACUAAUGUCUGAUUUGUCUCCAGCAUCUGCAAGAUUGCUCCAAGCCCUUCCCUUCCUAUCCUCGUCCUUCCUCCUCCAAAGGCAAUGGAUUUCAGAGUUGUGUUUGCCUGGUUCUGCAAUCGAGAAAACCUACUCAAUGGGCACAAUACAUGCUCAACACCCA
This 4547-nucleotide long non-coding RNA is filed under the name Spirodela polyrhiza (greater duckweed). Its description in RNAcentral is "long non-coding RNA (SPOL_LNC001922)". The record is from RNAcentral. Lineage: Eukaryota; Viridiplantae; Streptophyta; Magnoliopsida; Alismatales; Araceae.